AUGCCUUUCUCAGCCUUUUGGCUAAGAUCAAGUGUAGUAUCUGUUCUUUAACAGUUUAGUAACAAAACUAAUAAAGUCAAAAUCGGACUUCAA
RNAcentral lists this small nuclear RNA (93 nucleotides) under Helianthus annuus (common sunflower). Its description in RNAcentral is "sRNA HanXRQr2_Chr03g0093771". It matches the Rfam family "U2 spliceosomal RNA". Rfam says of the family: U2 is a small nuclear RNA (snRNA) component of the spliceosome (involved in pre-mRNA splicing). Complementary binding between U2 snRNA (in an area lying towards the 5' end but 3' to hairpin I) and the branchpoint sequence (BPS) of the intron results the bulging out of an unpaired adenosine, on the BPS, which initiates a nucleophilic attack at the intronic 5' splice site, thus starting the first of two transesterification reactions that mediate splicing. Lineage: Eukaryota; Viridiplantae; Streptophyta; Magnoliopsida; Asterales; Asteraceae. The record is from Rfam by way of RNAcentral.